Molecule: ribosomal RNA, 123 nt
Filed under: uncultured Bacillus sp.
Lineage: Bacteria; Bacillati; Bacillota; Bacilli; Caryophanales; Bacillaceae
Description: partial 16S ribosomal RNA
Rfam family: Bacterial small subunit ribosomal RNA
Source: RNAcentral
CUGANGGAGCACGCCGCGUGAACGAUGAAGGCUUUCGGGUCGUAAAGUUCUGUUGUUAGGGAAGAACAAGUACCGGAGUAACUGCCGGUACCUUGACGGUACCUAACCAGAAAGCCACGGCUA